UACGAAGGGGGCUAGCGUUGCUCGGAAUUACUGGGCGUAAAGGGCGCGUAGGCGGAUACUUAAGUCGGGGGUGAAAGCCCAGGGCUCAACCCUGGAAUAGCCUUCGAUACUGGGUAUCUUGAGUUCGGGAGAGGUGAGUGGAACUCCGAGUGUAGAGGUGAAAUUCGUAGAUAUUCGGAAGAACACCAGUGGCGAAGGCGACUCACUGGCCCGAUACUGACGCUGAGGCGCGAAAGCGUGGGGAGCAAACAGG
Molecule: ribosomal RNA, 253 nt
Filed under: uncultured bacterium
Lineage: Bacteria
Description: partial 16S ribosomal RNA
Rfam family: Bacterial small subunit ribosomal RNA
Source: RNAcentral